UAGGGAAUCUUCCACAAUGGACGCAAGUCUGAUGGAGCAACGCCGCGUGAGUGAAGAAGGUUUUCGGAUCGUAAAGCUCUGUUGUUGGUGAAGAAGGAUAGAGGCAGUAACUGGUCUUUAUUUGACGGUAAUCAACCAGAAAGUCACGGCUAACUACGUGCCAGCAGCCGCGGUAAUACGUAGGUGGCAAGCGUUGUCCGGAUUUAUUGGGCGUAAAGCGAGCGCAGGCGGAAUGAUAAGUCUGAUGUGAAAGCCCACGGCUCAACCGUGGAACUGCAUCGGAAACUGUCAUUCUUGAGUGCAGAAGAGGAGAGUGGAAUUCCAUGUGUAGCGGUGGAAUGCGUAGAUAUAUGGUAGAACACCAGUGGCGAAGGCGGCUCUCUGGUCUGCAACUGACGCUGAGGCUCGAAAGCAUGGGUAGCGAACAGG
Molecule: ribosomal RNA, 429 nt
Filed under: bacterium
Lineage: Bacteria
Description: partial 16S ribosomal RNA
Rfam family: Bacterial small subunit ribosomal RNA
Source: RNAcentral